Molecule: ribosomal RNA, 497 nt
Filed under: uncultured bacterium
Lineage: Bacteria
Description: partial 16S ribosomal RNA
Rfam family: Bacterial small subunit ribosomal RNA
Source: RNAcentral
GAUGAACGCUGGCGGCGUGCUUAAUCCAUGCAAGUCAACCGAACGGCCGAGAAGUUUGUUUUUCUGAUGUUGCGGCCGACCGGGUGAUAACUCCGUGUUUACCCUACCUUUAGGACUGGAUUAACUUGGGGAACCCGGGUUAAAUACCGGACAAUAUUUUGAACCGCAUGGUUAAAAAGUAAAAACCGUCUUUGCUGUCACUUAUAGUUGGUCCCGCGCUGCAUUAGCUAGUUGGUAAGGUAACGGCUUACCAAGGCAACGAUGCAUAGCCGACCUGAGAGGGUGAUCGGCCACACUGGAACUGAGACACGGUCCAGACUCCUACGGGAGGCAGCAGUAGGGAAUCUUCCGCAAUGGGCGAAAGCCUGACGGAGCAACGCCGCGUGAGUGAUGAAGGUCUUCGGAUCGUAAAACUCUGUUAUUAGGGAAGAACAUAUGUGUAAGUAACUGUGCACAUCUUGACGGUACCUAAUCAGAAAGCCACGGCUAACUACGUG